RNAcentral lists this ribosomal RNA (372 nucleotides) under uncultured organism. Its description in RNAcentral is "bacterial SSU rRNA". It matches the Rfam family "Bacterial small subunit ribosomal RNA", at positions 526 to 896 of the family's 1533-position model. The record is from RNAcentral.
CGUAGGGGGCGAGCGUUGUCCGGAAUUAUUGGGCGUAAAGAGCGUGUAGGCGGUUCGGUAAGUCUGUCGUGAAAACCUGAGGCUCAACCUCGGGCGUGCGAUGGAUACUGCCGGGCUAGAGGAUGGUAGAGGCGAGUGGAAUUCCCGGUGUAGCGGUGAAAUGCGCAGAUAUCGGGAGGAACACCAGUAGCGAAGGCGGCUCGCUGGGCCACUCCUGACGCUGAGACGCGAAAGCUAGGGGAGCGAACAGGAUUAGAUACCCUGGUGGUCCUAGCCGUAAACGAUGAACACUAGGUGUGGGGGGAGUCGAAUCCCUCUGUGCCGCAGCUAACGCGAUAAGUGUUCCGCCUGGGGAGUACGGCCGCAAGGCUA